GUUUCUUCCUAGGUUUUUGGCCUUUCUAGGGAGUUUUUCCUAGGGAGUUUUUCCUAGCCACCGUGCUUCUUUCACAUGCAUUGCUUGCUGUUUGGGGUUUUAGGCUGGGUUUCUGUACAGCACUUUGAGAUAUCAGCUGAUGUACGAAGGGCUAUAUAAAAAUGUUUGAUUUGAUUUGAUCUGUAUUCAUUUAUAUCCACUAGAUGGCACUGUGCGCAGUGUGUAAGAGUGAGAGCAAGCAAUUACACUGGAGAGCUGAUGAAAUCCAUCAUUGACAUGAGAAAGUUAGCUUCUUGCUAGCUGAAUACCAGUGCUCUCAGAACCACGUUGUGAAGUUGAUGAUAACCUUAUUUGAAGCUGCAGUAUGGGUGAGAUGAGGAUCUACUGUUCCAUGUGGUGUUAGGGUAUCACCUGGACAAUAUUUAUUUUACAGAGCCACUACCAUUUAGGCAUUUCACUUUGUACUUAUUGUACUCAGAUUGUUUUUAUGCUGAUUUAUUCACUUGAUUGUGAUUUAGACUGAACUUUACUUGAUGGGGACUUCCCUUCUACAUUAUCCUAUUUUAAAUGUAAGAUUCGACAGAAUAAACAGC
This 593-nucleotide long non-coding RNA is filed under the name Salmo salar (Atlantic salmon). RNAcentral describes it as "lncRNA (ENSSSAG00000095439.1)". The record is from RNAcentral. Lineage: Eukaryota; Metazoa; Chordata; Actinopteri; Salmoniformes; Salmonidae.